AACUCGAGCCUAAAAUUAGCCCCUUCCUGGCCCGGACCCGCUGCCCGUUGUGGACCAGAGAGACACCAAAUCUCCGGCUUUGCCCCCCCCCCAAGCCCUCGCCCUCCCUCCCGGUGUGCCGUGCCGGUUAACCCCCCCCGGCGGUUCCCCACGGACACCCGUGAUGUCCUCUCCUCAUCCCUCCUCUCCUCAUCUCUCCUCCUCCUCUCCUCUCCUCACGGCCGCGCUCCCUGCGAACCAAGAUGGCGCCUCACACACCCCUGUCCCAGCAGAUGCUGCUGCGGGGCACCGCCGCCUCCCCCCCAAAACACGGGCAGAUGGCACCCCGGGGUGUGUGCGAUUCAAGCCGCGAAACGUGGAAAACCCUGGCGAAAUUUUUUUUUAAAAAAACCCAAACUAAUUUUUUUUUUUUUAAUUUUUUUUUUUCCCAGCACGAACAAAAGUGAUCGUGAUGGAAAACACAAACAGCGGCGUCUCCCCGAGCCGGGACAGCGGAACCUCCCCCGGCGUUUCCCCGGGGACUCUGUGUUGUGUUUGGGGGGGACACGGACACGCUCGGGGGGGGGGGGGGGGCCGCUGCCUUAUCGCCCCCCCCAAAUCCCGGGGUCGGGGCUUGUUGUCGCGGCGGGGCCUGGCGAGCCUCCGCGGGAGGAAGCGGCCCUCACCACUGGGGGGGGGGGGGGGGGGGGGGGGGGGGGGGAGAGAUUUAAGGUGGCGCGGGGCUGUGCCGGGCCGCGCCUUCUGCCUGCGCGGCGGGAGGAAUUUUUUAAAUUUUAUUCCCCCCCCACCCCCUUCCUCCUCCUCCUCCUCUUCCUCCUCCUCGUCGCAGCGUUUCCUCCUCGGGCGGCUGGAGGCAACCUUGCCUCGCUGCUUCCCCUCCGCCUGACGCGCCGCUCCCCGGGACCCGCCGGGGACAGGGGAAGGGGGGGGACGGGGGGGGGGGAAACGGGGGAAGGGGGGGGGAGGGAGGGAGGAGCCAACGGCUGGGGGGGGGUGGUGGUGUUAAGCCCCGCCCCACCCCGCCCCGCCCUGACUGAUGCAAUAGGCGCGGCGGCGGGAGCGCGCGCGCGCCGCCCGCCCUCCCGCCCUCCCUGCCGGCGGUCACGCGUCCACGCGGAUGUGCGCACGCUCGCACGCGCGCCCCCCCUCCCC
This 1152-nucleotide long non-coding RNA is filed under the name Accipiter nisus (Eurasian sparrowhawk). Its description in RNAcentral is "lncRNA (ENSANIG00000017167.1)". The record is from RNAcentral. Lineage: Eukaryota; Metazoa; Chordata; Aves; Accipitriformes; Accipitridae.